AUUGAACGUCUGGCGGCAGGCCUAACACAUGCAAGUCGAGCGGUAGCACAGAGAGCUUGCUCUCGGGUGACGAGCGGCGGACGGGUGAGUAAUGUCUGGGAAACUGCCUGAUGGAGGGGGAUAACUACUGGAAACGGUAGCUAAUACCGCAUAACGUCGCAAGACCAAAGUGGGGGACCUUCGGGCCUCAUGCCAUCAGAUGUGCCCAGAUGGGAUUAGCUAGUAGGUGGGGUAAUGGCUCACCUAGGCGACGAUCCCUAGCUGGUCUGAGAGGAUGACCAGCCACACUGGAACUGAGACACGGUCCAGACUCCUACGGGAGGCAGCAGUGGGGAAUAUUGCACAAUGGGCGCAAGCCUGAUGCAGCCAUGCCGCGUGUGUGAAGAAGGCCUUCGGGUUGUAAAGCACUUUCAGCGGGGAGGAAGGCGGUGAGGUUAAUAACCUCAUCGAUUGACGUUACCCGCAGAAGAAGCACCGGCUAACUCCGUGCCAGCAGCCGCGGUAAUACGGAGGGUGCAAGCGUUAAUCGGAAUUACUGGGCGUAAAGCGCACGCAGGCGGUCUGUCAAGUCGGAUGUGAAAUCCCCGGGCUCAACCCGGGAACUGCAUUCGAAACUGGCAGGCUAGAGUCUUGUAGAGGGGGGUAGAAUUCCAGGUGUAGCGGUGAAAUGCGUAGAGAUCUGGAGGAAUACCGGUGGCGAAGGCGGCCCCCUGGACAAAGACUGACGCUCAGGUGCGAAAGCGUGGGGAGCAAACAGGAUUAGAUACCCUGGUAGUCCACGCCGUAAACGAUGUCGAUUUGGAGGUUGUGCCCUUGAGGCGUGGCUUCCGGAGCUAACGCGUUAAAUCGACCGCCUGGGGAGUACGGCCGCAAGGUUAAAACUCAAAUGAAUUGACGGGGGCCCGCACAAGCGGUGGAGCAUGUGGUUUAAUUCGAUGCAACGCGAAGAACCUUACCUGGUCUUGACAUCCACAGAACUUUCCAGAGAUGGAUUGGUGCCUUCGGGAACUGUGAGACAGGUGCUGCAUGGCUGUCGCCAGCUCGUGUUGUGAAAUGUUGGGUUAAGUCCCGCAACGAGCGCAACCCUUAUCCUUUGUUGCCAGCGGUCCGGCCGGGAACUCAAAGGAGACUGCCAGUGAUAAACUGGAGGAAGGUGGGGAUGACGUCAAGUCAUCAUGGCCCUUACGACCAGGGCUACACACGUGCUACAAUGGCAUAUACAAAGAGAAGCGACCUCGCGAGAGCAAGCGGACCUCAUAAAGUAUGUCGUAGUCCGGAUUGGAGUCUGCAACUCGACUCCAUGAAGUCGGAAUCGCUAGUAAUCGUAGAUCAGAAUGCUACGGUGAAUACGUUCCCGGGCCU
Molecule: ribosomal RNA, 1362 nt
Filed under: uncultured bacterium
Lineage: Bacteria
Description: bacterial SSU rRNA
Rfam family: Bacterial small subunit ribosomal RNA
Source: RNAcentral